GCAGUCGAACGAUGAAGCCUUUCGGGGUGGAUUAGUGGCGAACGGGUGAGUAACACGUGGGCAAUCUGCCCUUCACUCUGGGACAAGCCCUGGAAACGGGGUCUAAUACCGGAUAACACUCUGUCCCGCAUGGGACGGGGUUAAAAGCUCCGGCGGUGAAGGAUGAGCCCGCGGCCUAUCAGCUUGUUGGUGGGGUAAUGGCCUACCAAGGCGACAACAGGUAGCCGGCCUGAGAGGGCGACCGGCCACACUGGGACUGAGACACGGCCCAGACUCCUACGGGAGGCAGCAGUGGGGAAUAUUGCACAAUGGGCGAAAGCCUGAUGCAGCGACGCCGCGUGAGGGAUGACGGCCUUCGGGUUGUAAACCUCUUUCAGCAGGGAAGAAGCGAAAGUGACGGUACCUGCAGAAGAAGCGCCGGCUAACUACGUGCCAGCAGCCGCGGUAAUACGUAGGGCGCAAGCGUUGUCCGGAAUUAUUGGGCGUAAAGAGCUCGUAGGCGGCUUGUCACGUCGGAUGUGAAAGCCCGGGGCUUAACCCCGGGUCUGCAUUCGAUACGGGCUAGCUAGAGUGUGGUAGGGGAGAUCGGAAUUCCUGGUGUAGCGGUGAAAUGCGCAGAUAUCAGGAGGAACACCGGUGGCGAAGGCGGAUCUCUGGGCCAUUACUGACGCUGAGGAGCGAAAGCGUGGGGAGCGA
RNAcentral lists this ribosomal RNA (696 nucleotides) under bacterium 05-L049393-122-001-E01. RNAcentral's name for it is "bacterial SSU rRNA". It matches the Rfam family "Bacterial small subunit ribosomal RNA", at positions 57 to 771 of the family's 1533-position model. The record is from RNAcentral.